Molecule: ribosomal RNA, 468 nt
Filed under: uncultured bacterium
Lineage: Bacteria
Description: partial 16S ribosomal RNA
Rfam family: Bacterial small subunit ribosomal RNA
Source: RNAcentral
GACGAACGCUGGCGGCGUGCUUAACACAUGCAAGUCGAACGGAAAGGCCCUGCUUUUGUGGGGUGCUCGAGUGGCGAACGGGUGAGUAACCCAUGAAUAACCUGCCCUUGACUUUGGGAUAACUUCAGGAAACUGGGGCUAAUACCGGAUAGGAGCUCCUGCUGCAUGGUGGGGGUUGGAAAGUUUCGGCGGUUGGGGAUGGACUCGCGGCUUAUCAGCUUGUUGGUGGGGUAGUGGCAUACCAAGGCUUUGACGGGUAGCCGGCAUGAGAGGGUGACCGGCCACAUUGGGACUGAGAUACGGCGCAGACUCCUACGGGAGGCAGCAGUGGGGAAUAUUGCACAAUGGGCGGAAGCCUGAUGCAGCAACGCCGCGUGCGGGAAGACGGCCUUCGGGUUGGAAACCGCUUUCGCCUGUGACGAAGCGUGAGUGACGGUAAUGGGUAAAGAAGCACCGGCUAACUACGUG